UACGGAGGGUGCAAACGUUGCUCGGAAUCAUUGGGCGUAAAGCGCACGUAGGCGGCCUGUUAAGUCGGGUGUGAAAGCCCUGGGCUCAACCCAGGAAGUGCACUCGAAACUGGCGGGCUUGAAUAUGGAAGAGGGUCGCGGAAUUCCCGGUGUAGAGGUGAAAUUCGUAGAUAUCAGGAGGAACACCGGUGGCGAAGGCGGGUCUCUGGGCCGAUACUGACGCUGAGGAGCGAAAGCGUGGGGAGCGAACAGG
This 253-nucleotide ribosomal RNA is filed under the name uncultured bacterium. RNAcentral's name for it is "partial 16S ribosomal RNA". It matches the Rfam family "Bacterial small subunit ribosomal RNA", at positions 524 to 776 of the family's 1533-position model. The record is from RNAcentral.